CGCGUAGGCGGUUCGCUUAAGUCGGAUGUGAAAACUCUGGGCUCAACCCAGAGCCUGCAUCCGAAACUGGCGGGCUGGAGUUCUGGAGGGGGUAGCGGAAUUCCUGGUGUAGCGGUGAAAUGCGUAGAUAUCAGGAGGAACACCGGUGGCGAAGGCGGCUACCUGGACAGAAACUGACGCUGAGGCGCGAAAGCUAGGGGAGCGAACAGGAUUACGAUACCCUGGUAGUCCUAGCCCUAAACGAUGGAUACUUGGUGUGACUGGGAUUGAAUCCAGUCGUGCCGAAGCUAACGCAUUAAGUAUCCCGCCUGGGGAGUACGGUCGCAAGGCUAGAA
RNAcentral lists this ribosomal RNA (335 nucleotides) under uncultured bacterium. RNAcentral describes it as "bacterial SSU rRNA". It matches the Rfam family "Bacterial small subunit ribosomal RNA", at positions 568 to 899 of the family's 1533-position model. The record is from RNAcentral.